UACGAAGGGUGCAAACGUUGCUCGGAAUCAUUGGGCGUAAAGCGCACGUAGGCGGCCUUGUAAGUCGGAUGUGAAAUCCCACAGCUUAACUGUGGACGUGCAUUCGAAACUGUAAGGCUCGAGUAUGGAAGAGGGUCGCAGAAUUCCCGGUGUAGAGGUGAAAUUCGUAGAUAUCGGGAGGAAUACCAGUGGCGAAGGCGGCGACCUGGGCCAAUACUGACGCUGAGGUGCGAAAGCGUGGGGAGCAAACAGG
This 253-nucleotide ribosomal RNA is filed under the name uncultured bacterium. RNAcentral's name for it is "partial 16S ribosomal RNA". It matches the Rfam family "Bacterial small subunit ribosomal RNA", at positions 524 to 776 of the family's 1533-position model. The record is from RNAcentral.